ACCGUCAUUCUCCACCCUUUGUAGAUGAGAAGACUGAGGCGCAGCAAGGGCUGGCCGCGUCCCCAAGAUCCACAGCUACCAUUGAAGCCAGGCUGUGAAUCCCUGCAGCUGGGCUCCAGCAUCCUGCUCUGAGCCACUUAGCCUCACUGCUGUUCGCAUACUGGCUAAUUGGUGAGACACCAAAGAAAGCAGGAACGCACCUAUGAGUUAGAGUCCAGAGCGACCGGGUCCGUCUACGCUACCGCCGCACACCCCUCCCGCCCGCCUGGCUCGGUCCUGGGGGGACUCACGCGAAAAUCAAAGCCACCGACAACUUCACAACGACUAUGUGCACGCCCGGACACUCAAGAGGAGCAGAAAACUCACACAGAGCAAGGAAGCAACGUUUGUGACGAUUUUACUGGCCCUUCUGCCAUUUCUAGCUUUGCCCCUCCCCCCUCAACACAUCUUAUUCACAAUUUGCAUCGCACAUCAUUAUUUCCUGGGGAUCCAGAGGAAUGCUUUCCUUCUGAGAUCUUUUUCUUUCUUUCUUUCCUUUUUUAUUUUUUCUUUUUGGUUCAAUAUCCAAAGUUUAAAACAGAAGUCAGGAACCAGGAAGCAUA
Molecule: non-coding RNA, 602 nt
Organism: Equus caballus (horse)
Lineage: Eukaryota; Metazoa; Chordata; Mammalia; Perissodactyla; Equidae
Source: RefSeq, a predicted model, not a curated record